UACUAUUUAUUGAAUCACCCUUUGCACUGGUAACUGAACUACGAGUCACACAAAAGAAGUGGUAAGACUUGCCUUUUGAGACCUUGAAGGCUAAAGGUACCUGAUAAAUCUCAUCUGUCUGUGUCCCAUAGCUGCACAGGCUGCCUGAAGUUACAUUUAGAGACUGAAAUCACUGCACCUUAAAAACAAAAGAUUGAGCUG
Molecule: long non-coding RNA, 201 nt
Organism: Myotis lucifugus (little brown bat)
Lineage: Eukaryota; Metazoa; Chordata; Mammalia; Chiroptera; Vespertilionidae
Exons: 4
Source: RefSeq, a predicted model, not a curated record